RNAcentral lists this ribosomal RNA (460 nucleotides) under uncultured bacterium. RNAcentral describes it as "partial 16S ribosomal RNA". It matches the Rfam family "Bacterial small subunit ribosomal RNA", at positions 338 to 795 of the family's 1533-position model. The record is from RNAcentral.
CCUACGGGUGGCAGCAGUGAGGAAUAUUGGUCAAUGGACGAGAGUCUGAACCAGCCAAGUAGCGUGAGGGAUGACUGCCCUGUGGGUUGUAAACUUCUUUUAUAUGGGAAUAAAAUGUUCCACGUGUGGGCUUUUGUAUGUACCAUAUGAAUAAGGAUCGGCUAACUCCGUGCCAGCAGCCGCGGUAAUACGGAGGAUCCGAGCGUUAUCCGGAUUUAUUGGGUUUAAAGGGAGCGUAGGUGGAUUGUUAAGUCAGUUGUGAAAGUUUGAGGCUCAACCGUAAAAUGGCAGUUGAAACUGGCAGUCUUGAGUACAGUAGAGGUGGGCGGAAUGCGUGGUGUAGCGGUGAAAUGCUUAGAUAUCACGAAGAACUCCGAUUGCGAAGGCAGCUCACUGGACUGCAACUGACACUGAGGCUCGAAAGUGUGGGUAUCAAACAGGAUUAGAUACCCGGGUAGUC